CCCUGAGGGGGGGCAGGGGGGCGGCCGCCCCGGGCCCCCAAUGUCCAGGGGCCCCCAUCUAGGUACGUACGUAGGCCUACGAUGAGCGCAUGUCGCGCAGUUGGCUAGCCCAUGCCCGGAGCCGUCGAAUCUACGCUAGGUUGGCAAUCAAUCACCGUAUGCAGCUUGGUAGCCCACGCACGAGCACAUCCACUCCUUCGGUGAGGGCCCUGUAGUCAUAGGCUCGUACGAGUUGAUUGCGUGACGCCCGUUCAGUUUCCUAAUUCCCAUCUAAAAAGAAGUUCUGAGAUCUGAUUGCGAGUUCACGUCUUCGAGUAUCCCCCAACCACGAUCAUGAUCUCUGGACGCGAACGCGAGUCGCUGUUUCACGGAUGAACUCUAUUCUUCCACCUCUACUCCAGGCCAGUGCCAGAUUGCGCCAUCACCCUGACAUCGCCGAGCGCAUGCCGCGGACGCAUAUACAGAUCGCGUCAUCGCCGAGCGCCGGAUGGGACAAUCACCGGCAGUGAUUCAGCCGAUCCAAGGCCAAAAUCGCGGGAGAUCACCGGCGAUUGCAGGAGAUCAUGAUGAUUUAGGCUAAAAUUUUGGUGCAAAUUUGGCUGCCGCAAUUUCCUUUCUCCGGCAAUUUUAAUAGAACUGCAAAGAUUGGAGUUGUGCCAUGUCGUCUACAACUUCCGAAGGGCUCCCUGGUUCACCCAGUUUUCCAUGUCUCACGACUCAAAGCAGCGCAUCUUCGUCUCGAGCAGCUGGUGAGCGCACUACCUUCUAAUGACACUGAGUUCCAGGUUUCUUUGGAGGUGCUCGAGUAUCACUCACGCAAGACGACCAACAAGAUGGUGCGACAAGGACUAAUCCACUAGACAGGGGCACCAGUCGAUGACACCACCUGGGAAGACCUUGAAGAUCUCCACCGGCGCUUCCCACGACUCCAGCCUGGGUGCCACUGCAGAUCAUAUGCCAAUGCGACAAGCACACCAGGCGUAAGACGGUGAACCAAGGGCUCACACACUGGUUGCACUCCACAACAGACAAAGCCACCUGGUAAGACAUCGGUCGCCUCGGGCAACACUUUCCCGACGCUCCGGGUGUGGACAUGUCGGAAUUCAAGGAGAGGGGAUUGUCAAGGAGUCAUCGAGCGUGUAACUAACACUGGUUCUUGUAUUAGGGAGUGUUGGAUCCUAGUUUCCUCUAUCACAGAUUCAGAGACCAAAUGUUCAAAGUAGAAUUCAGAGUUUCUCACUGGACUAAUGUACAAGAUCAUUUUAUUGCUAUCUUCUACUAAAAGAAUAAAAGGUUCGACAGUUA
This is a long non-coding RNA of Triticum aestivum (bread wheat), 1305 nucleotides long. RefSeq lists it as uncharacterized. The transcript has 3 exons. The record is from RefSeq and is a predicted model, not a curated record. NCBI's taxonomy places the organism in Eukaryota, Viridiplantae, Streptophyta, Magnoliopsida, Poales, Poaceae.